This is a long non-coding RNA of Tribolium castaneum (red flour beetle), 378 nucleotides long. RefSeq lists it as uncharacterized. Lineage: Eukaryota; Metazoa; Arthropoda; Insecta; Coleoptera; Tenebrionidae. The transcript is spliced from 2 exons. The record is from RefSeq and is a predicted model, not a curated record.
CGCCCUCCCACAUGGGCAAGGAUAUGGAGUAAUGCAAAAUUAACGUCCAUAUCAAACCUAAUAUUAAUUUUAAUUUACAAUCGACUAUGUGACUCGAAUCUGAAACAAUUUCGUCGGUUGUAGAAAGUCGAGGAAAAGAGCCUAUUUAAGGUAUAGAGAGAAAUGUAGAACGAUGGAACUGGGUCUACCUAGACGGCCAAGGAUAACAAUUGUGUAGAAGAGAGAUCGCAAUCAUUUCCAUUUAUGAAACAGCGUUAACAUAGCAGACGACCGACCAGAUUCGACUCGGAUUCGAAGAAUUCUUACGUAACAAUUUCAAUGUCAUUUUUACCUAUCGAAAUUUGUAGCAAAAUUCACGCAAUAAACUUUUCUUUCGCA